AAAUGCCCCAACUGCCCCCAGGUCCUGCCCUGUGCCACUAAGAUUUGUAAGGCCUGUGGGGCAGAGCAGCCCAAGAAGGCUCGUUUGAUGAAGAGGCUGCAGGCCCUUGAUAUGAAGAAGGGGGAGUGACUUGGCAAUCUUAAAAAAACCCACAAUGAGGCAGCCAUGCGGGAUGAAGCCAUCAUUUUGCUUGAGAAGCUACAUGCAAUGGGCUACAAGCCACUCCUCCUCGUUCAGAAGGAAGGAAAUGGCAAAAAACCUAAAAUAACUUCCCUCACCCCAGGAUGUGAGCUGGACCCGCUGGCUACACAACACCUCAGCAAAAUGACAGCAUUUUUAUGAGUUGGUUUGUGCAGGUGAGAUGUACAGUAUACAGUUGGAGAAGGCGGGGCUGGAAGGCCUUGUGGAGGAGGCGGGGCUGGAAGGCCCCGGUGUAGAAGCUGAAGGCUUCGUGGAGGAGGUGGAGCUGGAAGGCCCCGCUGUGGAGACGGCAGGCCUUUUGGAGAAGGUGGGGCUGAAAAGCCCUGCUGUGGAGGCUGAAGGCCUCGUGGAGGAGGCGGGUGAAAUACAUCUACCUAAAAAAGCCCACAGAGGCAGAAAUGGAUAAAAAAAAAAAGAAAAAAAAGGGAAGUUUAAAUGACUUAAUACACUUGCAUUCAGAUUUGAUAUUUGAUCACUUUGAUGUGAAUGCUUGACCUGGAUAUGUUAAUGAUGUUGUUGUGUUCCUAAUCUGAGUUUUGAUGCCUUCAGAUUGCUCCUACCACACAGGCCUGGGUGUUUAUCCAAUUAGGAGUGCUCUGAAAGAAAGAGUGAGGAAGGUAAGACAUGCAUAACAGAACACCAUACUACUCUUUAUUUGUUCUAUUUACAUCAAACUAAAGUCAAGCUGUUAAGUUAAAAUAUCUCUCAAUCACAGAAGUAAAGCUGGGAAAUAGUCAAAUAAUGUAAAUAUUGUAUACAGUAUAUACUACAGCCUCUUGACUAAAAUACUUUAAAUAUCAUGUUAAAACAUGAAACAGGAAACAUGGCUAUUACCAAAGCCUGAUGCAAAAAAUAUGUAAGCAUGUAUUGUUGUUCCUGUCAUUGGGCCAAACAGAAUUGCUGAUUGACUCUGGGAGCCUUGUGCAGCAUGGUGUGUGUUCUACUAUAUGACAAAUACAGAAAUAAGAUUGCUCUCACUCUCUAUUUCACUCUCACACUCACACAGGUUUUGAAGUCAAUCGCUUUUACCUUGACCUGUUUUGAAGAAUGUUCUAAUGUGUUUCAAUCGAAUAAUUGAAAUAUCACAUGUAACAUAAUUGUCUCCCUUCUGUUUUCAGUGGGAAACAGUGGACUCCUACUUGGGAGCCCAAGAAGUCAUUUGUUUAAGUUAAUUCAUUUUGUAUAUUUCUAUACAAAGUAAAGUGUUGUUUACAAGCCCUGUGUUGAAGAUGGUAGAUGUUCAACAUUUCCUGCCAUUUCAGAACUCCACACAGAAACAUGUUCUUCUUUUGAUAUGUGGUUUAUCAAGAGGUUAGUAAAUUAUUCAACCGAGCAAAAUGUGUGCCCAAAUGGAAGCAGGACUCUGUACAUGCUGUAAGUCAGAUGCAAUUUACUGUAAAUUAAAAAAAAAAUAAAAAAAUCCCUCGCGAAUGACUGUUAAUAAUU
Cyprinus carpio (common carp) is the source of this 1647-nucleotide long non-coding RNA. The record is from Ensembl. NCBI's taxonomy places the organism in Eukaryota, Metazoa, Chordata, Actinopteri, Cypriniformes, Cyprinidae.